AACGCGAAGAACCUUACCUGGGCUUGAACCGCACAGGACCAGCUCCAGAAAUGGGGCCUUCCCGCAAGGGACCUGUGUAGAGGUGCUGCAUGGCUGUCGUCAGCUCGUGCCGUGAGGUGUUGGGUUAAGUCCCGCAACGAGCGCAACCCUUACUCAUAGUUGCUACCCGCAAGGGAGAACUCUAUGAGGACUGCUCCGGAUAACGGAGAGGAAGGUGGGGAUGAGGUCAAGUCAGCAUGGCCUUUAUGUCCAGGGCUACACACGUGUUACAAUGCGCGCCACAAAGCGUUGCAAACCCGCGAGGGGGAGCUAAUCGCAAAAAAGCGCGCUCAGUUCGGAUUGCAGUCUGCAACUCGACUGCAUGAAGCCGGAAUCGCUAGUAAUGGCGCAUCAGAACGGCGCCGUGAAUACGUUCCCGGGCCUUGUACACACCGAGACGUA
This 441-nucleotide ribosomal RNA is filed under the name uncultured bacterium. RNAcentral's name for it is "bacterial SSU rRNA". It matches the Rfam family "Bacterial small subunit ribosomal RNA", at positions 958 to 1398 of the family's 1533-position model. The record is from RNAcentral.